RNAcentral lists this ribosomal RNA (393 nucleotides) under Tripterygion delaisi. Its description in RNAcentral is "partial 12S ribosomal RNA". It matches the Rfam family "Bacterial small subunit ribosomal RNA", at positions 791 to 1385 of the family's 1533-position model. Lineage: Eukaryota; Metazoa; Chordata; Actinopteri; Blenniiformes; Tripterygiidae. The record is from RNAcentral.
UAUGCCCAGCCGUAAACAUUGGUAGCACAAGUACAAGUGCUAUUCGCCUGGGUACUACGAGCACUAGCUUAAAACCCAAAGGACUUGGCGGUGCUUAAGACCCCCCUAGAGGAGCCUGUUCUAGAACCGAUAACCCCCGUUAAACCUCACCUUCCCUUGUUAGUCCCGUCUAUAUACCGCCGUCGUCAGCUUACCCCGUGAGGGGACUAUAGUGAGCAAGAUCAGCAAACCCCAAAACGUCAGGUCGAGGUGUAGCGAAUGGGAGGGGCAGAAAUGGGCUACAUUCCUUAAGCAUAAGGAAAACGAAUUGUGCAAUGAAAUGUGCAUAUAAAGGAGGAUUUAGCAGUAAGCAGGAAAUAGAGAGUUCUGCUGAAGCCGGCUCUAAAGCGCGCA